AAUUUAUGUGUGGUGCAGUAUCCUAGUUGAUUUGUCUAUUAGGAAGACGAGCCUAAAAAUUCGUUAAAGGGCACAUCUGUGAAGCUUCUUGUGCUUGCCUAUUACGCCCAGUUUUGGGUGGGUGCUGGAAGAGGAGAGAUGGGCCACCAUAAUGGCAUAUGUAAUGGACCCAACUAUCUUUGAGACUCACUUACGUAGUAAGCCUAUACACUCUUUAUGGGUUGAUGGACUUAUUACGAUUUGAGAUUAAACCUAUCGCGCGGUAUAAGGCUGUGGAUAGUGUAGCCUGCCUUGAGUGAAUAUUUGGGAUUAAGGUCUAGAUAAUAGGAGUAGACGUAUGAAUAUUAUUUACUGCUUAUGAAACUAUAUUUGCAAAAAAGUGCUAUGAGUAGACAAAUCUGGAAGAAAAUUCCUAGGCUGUAUAUUAUUAUUGGAUUAAAGUGUGUACUAAGUGGCAAUCAAGUCUUAUAGCUGGAAACACUAUAACUAAUUCUUUAAAGGGGAACCGCAAAUUGGCAACGAGAUGUAGAAUUAGGGGAAAACCUACUUGACCUAAGGCAUAAUAUUUCCAAUAUUAAUUCCACUUUUUUAAUUU
Molecule: small RNA, 595 nt
Filed under: pig gut metagenome
Source: RNAcentral